CCUACUCAUCACUACUAACCACCAGGGCUGGCAGUGUCGUCCCCUCCCCCCCCUUCAUCAAAGGUAAGAAGAAGGGUGGGGGGACAUGAGUCUUUAAAAAUAUAUUUCUUUUAAAUAAAAAUAACCAAAUUCACUUAUCCCUAUGCAUCUCCCCCUCCUUCCCCCCACCACACACACAGCUCCCCUCACAUACACACACAGCACUCCUCACACACACACACACACACACAAAGCACCCCUCAUCCACAGCACCCUUCUAACACAUAUUGCAAUCUUUACAUACACACAUUGCUCCUCAUAUACACACACAGCACCCCUCACACACACAGCACCUCUCACAUACACAAAGAGCACCCCUCACACACAUAUUGCACCCUUCACAUACACACAUUGCACCCCUCACACACUCAGUGCACCCUUCACAUACACACAUUGCAUACCUCACAUACACAAGGAGCACCAAACAACCUCUCACACACAGCAACCCUCACACACACACACACACACACACACACAGCACCCUUCAAACACAGCACACCUAAUACAUACAGCACACCCCCCCACACACACACAAACACAUCACCCAUCACACACACUUACCCCCUCACACAGUGAACACCUUACACACACAGAGCACCCCUCACACACACACAUCACCCCUCACACUCGUACAGCAUACCUAACACACAAACAGCACCCCUCACAUGUAUACAUACUGCACACCUCACAUACACACAAAGCACCCCUCAGAUACACAGCACCCUCACACCCAGCACCCUUCAUAUACACUACAUUACUUACACACAGCACACCUCACACACACACACACACACACACUGCACUUCUCACACACUGUACUACUACUCACAUAAACACACACUGCACCUCUCACAUACCCACUGCACCAUCACACACACACACACACUGCACUCCCCACACACACAGCACCACUCGCAGAAACACUGCACCCCUCACACAUGCACAGCACCCCUCACACACACAAAACUGCACCCCUCACUGCUGUCUGUAUGUGUGUAUUCUGCAAUGUGUGUGUGUGUUCAGCAGUCUGUGUGUGCAUAUUCAGCAGUAUGUGCUUGCAUUCAGCAGUCUGUGCA
Molecule: non-coding RNA, 1115 nt
Organism: Pelobates cultripes (western spadefoot toad)
Lineage: Eukaryota; Metazoa; Chordata; Amphibia; Anura; Pelobatidae
Source: the annotation of a GenBank genome assembly